UUAACUUCCAAACAUUAAAAAUCAUAAACCAGCAUUUUUACCUGCUGAAAACUGAACGUUCCUGACAUGUUUGGAUGGGAUUAAGAUCACUGAGAUUAACUGAAACUGAUCAAAAUUAAUCUCUGCCAUCUUUUCCAGACGCAGAUUAUAAUCUGGAUUGUGUGAACGAUUAUCUGUUCACUCUCAACUGUUCCCUGAACGCCUCACCAGCGGCCAGCAACAAAACCUACUGGCUGAAAGUCACCAGCAAUUUGGAGCAGACGGAGUAUAAAUGUCUGCUGGGAAACACGACGGCCGGCCUCUUCUGUUCCCUCGACAGAUCCCUGACGGCCGACGACGCAGAAACAUUUUCAGACGAUGAAGAUUUAGAAAUUUUUUUGUGUGAAAA
Gambusia affinis (western mosquitofish) is the source of this 388-nucleotide long non-coding RNA. RefSeq lists it as uncharacterized. The transcript has 2 exons. The record is from RefSeq and is a predicted model, not a curated record. NCBI's taxonomy places the organism in Eukaryota, Metazoa, Chordata, Actinopteri, Cyprinodontiformes, Poeciliidae.